RNAcentral lists this ribosomal RNA (1213 nucleotides) under metagenome. RNAcentral describes it as "bacterial SSU rRNA". It matches the Rfam family "Bacterial small subunit ribosomal RNA", at positions 125 to 1315 of the family's 1533-position model. The record is from RNAcentral.
CCUGCCUCCAAGCGGGGGACAACUCCUCUAACGAGGGGCUAAUACCGCAUAAUGCAUCGUUCUCGCAUGUGAAUGUUGCCAAAGGUGGCCUCUUCUUGAAAGCUGCCACUUGGAGAUGGACCCGCGCUCCAUUAGCUUGUUGGUGAGGUAACGGCUCACCAAGGCUACGAUGGAUAGCCGGCCUGAGAGGGUGAUCGGCCACACUGGAACUGAGACAAGGUCCAGUCCCCUACGGGGGCCAGCAGUCUAGAAAUUUGCACAAUGAACGAAAGUUCGAUGCAGCGACGCCACGUGAAGGAUGAAGCCUCUAGGGGUGUAAACUUCUGUCAGGAGGGAAGAAUGCGGAGGGGUGAAUAGCCUCUUCGUUUGACGGUACCUUCAGAGGAAGCUCCGGCUAACUUCGUGCCAGCAGCCGCGGUAAUACGAAGGGAGCGAGCGUUGUUCGGAUUUACUGGGCGUAAAGGGCGCGUAGGCGGGCUUGUAAGUCGAAUGUGAAAACUGUGGGCUCUACCGACAGACUGCAUUCGAAACUACAUGCCUUGAGUCUAGGAGAGGAGAGCGGAAUCGGCAGUGUAGCGGUGAAAUGCGUAGAUAUUGCCGAGAACACCGGUGGCGAAGGCGGCUCUCUGGUCUAGUACUGACGCUAAGGCGCGAAAGCUAGGGGAGCGAACGGGAUUAGAUACCCCGGUAGUCCUAGCCGUAAACGAUGGGCACUUGGUGUUGGAGGUGUUGACCCCUUCAGUGCCGCAGCUAACGCAUUAAGUGCCCCGCCUGGGGAGUACGGUCGCGAGGCUGAAACUCAAAGGAAUUGACGGGGACCCGCACAAGCGUUGGAGCAUGCUCCUCAAUUCGAUGCUACGCGAAGAACCUUACCCAGGCUUGACAUAUACCCGUAAGCUCUAGAAAUAGGGCCCCUCUUCGGAGCGGGUAUACAGGUGCUGCAUGGCUGUCGUCAGCUCGUGUCGUGAGAUGUUGGGUUCAGUCCCGCAACGAGCGCAACCCCUGUCCCUAGUUGCCAGCACAUAAUGGUGGGAACUCUAGGGAGACUGCCUGUGUUAAGCAGGAGGAAGGUGGGGACGACGUCAAGUCCUCAUGGCCCUUACGCCUGGGGCUGGAAGCGUGCUACAAUGGCCGGUACAAAGGGCUGCGAUACCGCGAGGUGGAGCUAAUCCCAAAAAACCGGUCUCAGUUCGGAUUGAAGUCUGCAACUCGA